Non-coding RNA from Phrynosoma platyrhinos (Desert horned lizard), 72 nucleotides. NCBI's taxonomy places the organism in Eukaryota, Metazoa, Chordata, Lepidosauria, Squamata, Phrynosomatidae. The record is from the annotation of a GenBank genome assembly.
GCCAGUGUGGUAUAGUGGUUUGAGUGCUGGACUCCAACUCUGGAGAACAGGGUUGAAAUUCCUGCUCAGCCA